UAAUAUAGCAAUAUUAUCUAUGGUACCUCUACCUUUGCGGAAUCCAAACUGUGUAUUCGAAAGGAGGUUAUGUUUUUCUACAAACCAUUCUAGUCUGUUUUUAGCUAAAUGUUCCGCAAUCUUUAAUAAAACAGAGGAUAGAACAAUGGGGCGAUAUGAUGUAGCCAAAGAAGGGGGUUUGUUGGGUUUUGGUACUGGAAUAACUUUUUGUUUUCUCCAUGAAGUGGGUAAAUUACCAGUUAUUAAAAUUUGGUUUAUUAACUUGAGGUAGUAUUGUAAAAUUUCCUCAUCAGCAUGUUGAAAGAAAGAAUAUGGAAUGCCAUCUAAUCCGGGAGAAGAAUCUUUUAAGUUUUGUACUACCCCUUUUAACUCUUCUAUUAUGCAGCAAUGAUUGAAAAAUCAGAGUGAUGUGAUGGAAGAGGAAUGUGAUGAAAUGAUUGAUGGUGUUUGAUGAGCAUGGCUGUACCACCAUACCCAUCUGAUCUGUCUUCCCUGAGACAAGUGUAGCCAGAAAUCCUGAAAAGUGAUUCCGGCUUGAGCCAUGUCUCUUGUAAGGAAAGAACAAUAGGUGAUGAUGAUGAAGAAGUAGAUGAUAUUAACACGUCAGAAUAUAAUUUUGAAAUGGGAGGAUGUAACUUAGAAGCUUCUGAGUAGGAUAGACAAUUGUGAGCCAUUGACUCCUUAAUUGAUUUUUGGCGUUGGAAUUCUGGGCAUUUUUUAUCAGUUGCAAUGUGCGAACCGUGGCAAAUACAACAGUAAAUAGACUCCUCUUCAACUGAGCAACUAUCACCAGCAUGCCCUUGGCCACACCUAAAGCAUCUAGGUGUUGACCGACAUUGGUUUUUGACAUGUCCGUAUCUACAGCAAUUGAAGCACUGUAUUGUAGGGAAAAUAUAUAAAUCUACAGGAAGUGCAUUAUAGCACAUGAAGACUCUCUUUGGUAGCGUCUGUCCGUCAAAUGUUAUUACCACAGAUUCGGUGUUAUUAAAUUGAGCGGUUCCAUUCA
Aricia agestis (brown argus) is the source of this 1006-nucleotide long non-coding RNA. RefSeq lists it as uncharacterized. The record is from RefSeq and is a predicted model, not a curated record. NCBI's taxonomy places the organism in Eukaryota, Metazoa, Arthropoda, Insecta, Lepidoptera, Lycaenidae. The transcript is spliced from 3 exons.